AGUGAACGCUGGCGGUAGGCCUAACACAUGCAAGUCGAACGGCAGCACAGUAAGAGCUUGCUCUUACGGGUGGCGAGUGGCGGACGGGUGAGGAAUACAUCGGAAUCUACUUUUUCGUGGGGGAUAACGUAGGUAAACUUACGCUAAUACCGCAUACGACCUACGGGUGAAAGCAGGGGAUCUUCGGACCUUGCGCGAUUGAAUGAGCCGAUGUCGGAUUAGCUAGUUGGCGGGGUAAAGGCCCACCAAGGCGACGAUCCGUAGCUGGUCUGAGAGGAUGAUAAGCCACACUGGAACUGAGACACGGUCCAGACUCCUACGGGAGGCAGCAGUGGGGAAUAUUGGACAAUGGGCGCAAGCCUGAUCCAGCCAUACCGCGUGGGUGAAGAAGGCCUUCGGGUUGUAAAGCCCUUUUGUUGGGAAAGAAAAGCAGCAGGUUAAUACCCUGCUGUUCUGACGGUACCCAAAGAAUAAGCACCGGCUAACUUCGUG
RNAcentral lists this ribosomal RNA (492 nucleotides) under uncultured bacterium. Its description in RNAcentral is "partial 16S ribosomal RNA". It matches the Rfam family "Bacterial small subunit ribosomal RNA", at positions 29 to 507 of the family's 1533-position model. The record is from RNAcentral.